This 253-nucleotide ribosomal RNA is filed under the name uncultured bacterium. Its description in RNAcentral is "partial 16S ribosomal RNA". It matches the Rfam family "Bacterial small subunit ribosomal RNA", at positions 524 to 776 of the family's 1533-position model. The record is from RNAcentral.
UACGUAGGGGGCAAGCGUUGUCCGGAUUUAUUGGGCGUAAAGAGCGUGUAGGCGGCCAGACAGGUCAGCUGUGAAAACUCGAGGCUCAACCUCGAGACGUCGGUUGAAACCGUCUGGCUAGAGUCCGGAAGAGGAGAGUGGAAUUCCCGGUGUAGCGGUGAAAUGCGCAGAUAUCAGGAAGAACACCCGUGGCUAAGGCGGUUCUCUAGUACGGUACUGACGCUGAGACGCGAAAGCGUGGGGAGCGAACAGG